GUUCAAGCAGCCGCGGUAAUACGUAGGGUGCGAGCGUUGUCCGGAAUUAUUGGGCGUAAAGGGCUCGUAGGCGGUUUGUCGCGUCGGGAGUGAAAACGCCGUGCUUAACACGGCGCUUGCUUUCGAUACGGGCAGACUAGAGGUAUGCAGGGGAGAACGGAAUUCCUGGUGUAGCGGUGAAAUGCGCAGAUAUCAGGAGGAACACCGGUGGCGAAGGCGGUUCUCUGGGCAUUACCUGACGCUGAGGAGCGAAAGUGUGGGGAGCGAACAGGAUUAGAUACCCCGGUAGUCC
RNAcentral lists this ribosomal RNA (292 nucleotides) under uncultured bacterium. Its description in RNAcentral is "partial 16S ribosomal RNA". It matches the Rfam family "Bacterial small subunit ribosomal RNA", at positions 505 to 796 of the family's 1533-position model. The record is from RNAcentral.